This 62-nucleotide transfer RNA is filed under the name Nepiomorpha sp. NespEL. RNAcentral describes it as "tRNA-Val". The record is from RNAcentral. Lineage: Eukaryota; Metazoa; Arthropoda; Insecta; Psocodea; Elipsocidae.
CAAGAAAUAGCUUAAAUAAAGCGAUUUAUUUACAUUAAAAGGAUAUUAAAAAAUUUUCUUGA